This 672-nucleotide long non-coding RNA is filed under the name Triticum aestivum (bread wheat). RNAcentral's name for it is "long non-coding RNA (TAES_LNC009541)". Lineage: Eukaryota; Viridiplantae; Streptophyta; Magnoliopsida; Poales; Poaceae. The record is from RNAcentral.
AGUCCCUUUUCCAUGACUUCAUCAAUAACCGCUUCAUAUGUGUGCAAUCCUUUGAAGUAAAGUGUACUUCCAUCCUACAUCUUCACCAAGAAAACAUCACUUCAAGCAACAGAACGUCAACGCACCCGGAUUUAGAAUACACAUACACUUUGUUCUAGCUGUAGAAAUCUAAUAGCACACUGAUCAAAAUUAGUGCAAGGACAUAUCAAACAGGUAAAAAAGAUAUGAAAGACUAACUUUAUCCAAACAAAUAGGAAGAGGAGCAAUAUAAAAUAAUGGGCCAGAUUAAAGGGAGUUGGAUGUGGGAGAGAAGUGUCGAUGAUUACCACGAUUCAGUUGCUAAUCACCGUCGAGGAUCCCAACAUCGACAAACCAUAUCGAUUCAGGAAGAGCUGGAACAAUUCGUGAUAGUGCUGCAUCAGCCUCCCCGCUGGAUGUUUUUAGUGGGAAAAUACAGUAUAAUAUGUAUAUCUAGUCCAGCCUAAUUCUCUAGUUAAUGACCUCCUUUGUUUUGUUUUAUCAGAUUCUAUUUUAAUUCAGACGAUUUUUAUUUUACAUUCAGACUGUAGUUAAUUGCCUCCUUUCUCCCUCUGUCCACACCAUAGACAAGGAUGCACUACCAGCUUUAGGGGCCAAAAUAUGGAUCUAUUGAGUCAGCUUCAUCACCCAGAU